GAUGAACGCUGACAGAAUGCUUAACACAUGCAAGUCCACUUGAACUUCGGUUUGGGUGGCGGACGGGUGAGUAACGCGUAAAGAACUUGCCUCACAGAUAGGGACAACAUUUGGAAACGAAUGCUAAUACCUGAUAUUAUGAUUAUAUGGCAUCGUAUAAUUAUGAAAGCUAUAUGCGCUGUGAGAGAGCUUUGCGUCCCAUUAGCUAGUUGGAGCGGUAACGGCUCACAAAGGCGAUGAUGGGUAGCCGGCCUGAGAGGGUGAUCGGCCACAAGGGGACUGGGUCACGGCCCUUACUCCUCCGGGGGGCAGCGGUGGGGAAUUUUGGACAAGGGACCAAGAGUCUGAUCCAGCAAUUCUGUGUGCACGAUGAAGUUUUUCGGAAUGUAAAGUGCUUUCAGUUGGGAAGAAAAAAAUGACGGUACCAACAGAAGAAGUGACGGCUAAAUACGUG
RNAcentral lists this ribosomal RNA (454 nucleotides) under uncultured bacterium. Its description in RNAcentral is "partial 16S ribosomal RNA". It matches the Rfam family "Bacterial small subunit ribosomal RNA", at positions 28 to 507 of the family's 1533-position model. The record is from RNAcentral.